This 516-nucleotide ribosomal RNA is filed under the name uncultured microorganism. RNAcentral describes it as "bacterial SSU rRNA". It matches the Rfam family "Bacterial small subunit ribosomal RNA", at positions 9 to 521 of the family's 1533-position model. The record is from RNAcentral.
GAGUUUGAUCGUGGCUCAGAUUGAACGCUGGCGGCAGGCCUAACACAUGCAAGUCGAGCGGAUGAAGGGAGCUUGCUCCUGGAUUCAGCGGUGGACGGGUGAGUAAUGCCUAGGAAUCUGCCUGGUAGUGGGGAUAACGUCCGGAAACGGGCGCUAAUACCGCAUACGUCCUGAGGGAGAAAGUGGGGGAUCUUCGGACCUCACGCUAUCAGAUGAGCCUAGGUCGGAUUAGCUAGUUGGUGGGUAAAGGCCUACCAAGGCGACGAUCCGUAACUGGUCUGAGAGGAUGAUCAGUCACACUGGAACUGAGACACGGUCCAGACUCCUACGGGAGGCAGCAGUGGGGAAUAUUGGACAAUGGGCGAAAGCCUGAUCCAGCCAUGCCGCGUGUGUGAAGAAGGUCUUCGGAUUGUAAAGCACUUUAAAGUUGGGAGGAAGGGCAGUAAGUUAAUACCUUGCUGUUUUGACGUUACCAACAGAAUAAGCACCGGCUAACUUCGUGCCAGCAGCCGCCGU